Molecule: ribosomal RNA, 254 nt
Filed under: uncultured bacterium
Lineage: Bacteria
Description: partial 16S ribosomal RNA
Rfam family: Bacterial small subunit ribosomal RNA
Source: RNAcentral
UACGGGGGAUGCAAGCGUUAUCCGGAUUUAUUGGGUUUAAAGGGUGCGUAGGCUGUGAGGUAAGUCAGCGGUGAAAUGCCCCCGCUCAACGGGGUGAAGUGCCAUUGAUACUGCCUUGCUGGAAUGCGGAUGCCGUGGGAGGAACGUGUGGUGUAGCGGUGAAAUGCAUAGAUAUCACACAGAACACCGAUUGCGAAGGCAUCUCACGAAUCCGCGAUUGACGCUGAUGCACGAAAGCGUGGAUAUCAAACAGG